GAUUGAGGGGGGCUGCUCCUAGUACGAGAGGACCGGAGUGGACGCAUCACUGGUGUUCGGGUUGUCAUGCCAAUGGCACUGCCCGGUAGCUAAAUGCGGAAAAGAUAAGUGCUGAAAGCAUCUAAGCACGAAACUUGCCCCGAGAUGAGUCUUCCCUGAGACUUUGAGUCUCCUGAAGGAACGUUAAAGACGAUGACGUUGAUAGGCCGGGUGUGUAAGCGCAGCGAUGCGUUGAGCUAACCGGUACUAAUGAACCGUGAGGCUUAACCUUACAACGCCGAAGGUGUUU
RNAcentral lists this ribosomal RNA (289 nucleotides) under Salmonella enterica. Its description in RNAcentral is "partial 23S ribosomal RNA". It matches the Rfam family "Bacterial large subunit ribosomal RNA", at positions 2660 to 2925 of the family's 2925-position model. The record is from RNAcentral. Lineage: Bacteria; Pseudomonadati; Pseudomonadota; Gammaproteobacteria; Enterobacterales; Enterobacteriaceae.